ACAACAAUACAGAGAAAAUUAGCAUGGCCCGUGAGCAAGAAUGACACACAAGUUUGUGAAGUGUUCCAUAUUUUG
This is a small nuclear RNA of Ursus thibetanus thibetanus, 75 nucleotides long. Lineage: Eukaryota; Metazoa; Chordata; Mammalia; Carnivora; Ursidae. The record is from Ensembl.